GCGGCAGCUGCGUAGAACUGGGUGGCGCAGCGGCGGCGGUGCCGAGGAGAUGGCUUCCUGGAGCGCGCCUUCGCCCAGCCUUGUAGAGUAUUUUGAGGGCCAGACCUCCUUCCAGUGUGGCUAUUGCAAGAGCAACUUUGGCAGUCGCUCCCAUGAAGCGGGAAAUAUGUGUACAAGCCUGUCAUGAAUCAAACAUGCUGUCCUCAGUAUACAAUAAGGUGUCAUCCUUUACAGUUUCAGCCCUCAAAAUCUCACAAGAAAGUUUUGAAAAAAAUGCUGAAAUUUCUGGCUAAAGGAGAGAUCUCGAAAGGCAAUUGUGAGGACGAGCCCAUGGAUUCUACAAUGGAGGAUGCUGUUGAUGGUGAUUUUGCAUUAAUGAACAAGUUGGAUAUAAAGUGUGAUCUUAAAACACUCAGCAGUGACCUCAAAGUAAGCAUAGAGAGUGA
RNAcentral lists this long non-coding RNA (446 nucleotides) under Rattus norvegicus (Norway rat). RNAcentral's name for it is "long non-coding RNA NONRATT003256". Lineage: Eukaryota; Metazoa; Chordata; Mammalia; Rodentia; Muridae. The record is from RNAcentral.